RNAcentral lists this ribosomal RNA (369 nucleotides) under uncultured organism. RNAcentral's name for it is "partial 16S ribosomal RNA". It matches the Rfam family "Bacterial small subunit ribosomal RNA", at positions 527 to 896 of the family's 1533-position model. The record is from RNAcentral.
GGAGAGGGCGAGCGUUGUUCGGAUUUACUGGGCGUAAAGGGCAUGUAGGUGUCCCGAUAAGCUCUGGGGUGAAAUCUCCGCGCUCAACGCGGAAACGAAUCAGAGAACUAUCGGGAUUGAGUUCAGAAGAAGAGAGUGGAAUUCUCGGUGUAGCGGUGAAAUGCGUAGAUAUCGAGAAGAACACCAGCGGCGAAGGCGGCUCUCUAUUCUGAAACUGACACUCAAAUGCGAAAGCGUGGGGAGCGAAUGGGAUUAGAUACCCCAGUAGUCCACGCUGUAAACGAUGUGCACUUGGUGUAUUCCUUUUUAAGGGGUGUGCCGGAGCUAACGCGUUAAGUGCACCGCCUGGGGAGUACGGCCGCAAGGCUA